Long non-coding RNA from Gastrolobium bilobum, 1121 nucleotides. RefSeq lists it as uncharacterized. The transcript has 3 exons. Lineage: Eukaryota; Viridiplantae; Streptophyta; Magnoliopsida; Fabales; Fabaceae. The record is from RefSeq and is a predicted model, not a curated record.
UGGGAGCUUGAGGAGCACUCACAUCAUUGUUGUGCAACCAUUGGUGGUAAGAUUUAAACCCUUGAACCUUAUUUUCAUGGAAAAUUUCAUGAGUAGGGUUUUGUGAAUAGUAAAGUGGGAAUUUUAGAAAUUGUGAGUAAGUUGACUAUGUUCUAGGAAGAUUUAAGCUUAGAGCAUGUUGUGAAAAAUGCUAGGAACGACAUUUAAUCGGUGGAAAUGAGCCUAGAUGGUCAUUUGAUAAUUGUUCAUAAUAUUGGAAAAUUCAUGCUUGGAUUGGUUAGUAUUCUAGCAUGUUGAACAAUUAGUGAGUUGAAUGAUUGAUUGUGUCCUUGUGAUGUCUAGGAUUGAGACAUUUGGACCAACCGUGAGUGAUCAAUCAUUGGAGCAAGCUAUGGAGCUUGAAUAGCUCAUUGGAAUUGGUGUAUAUUUGUAAAAGUGGAUUGCUGAAACUGUUGGUGAAGAACAAAGGUCGACUGAAGCAUUGAGGUAAGGAUGCUGCAGGAGCCUCUGGUGGCAAGUGGCCAUAUCUGGAUUAUGCAUGAAAUGUGGCAUUCCUUUUGAGUUUAUGCAUGCCUUUGUAGUUGACAUGUAUAGGAAUUUAUUUUCAAAGCCUUUGGUCAUUUGUAUAUCUUGAUUCAUUGGAUGAACUUAGCCUAUGCUCAUGCCUUUGGUUACACCUUUUGUUGAUGGGAGCCAAGGGAAUGAUCAUAGUGUUUUGUAAGCUAAGUUCUAUGAUUUGUAAAUGAUAUGUAAUGUAAAUGAUGCCUACUUGAAAUUCAAUAUAUGCAUGCUUGUUAUGUAUUGAGUUGUUGAAUUGGUUGGGCUGAAAAUCAAUUAGGUACCCUUUGUUUAAAUUGGUAAACGAUGAGAAAACAAAGGUCAUGCUGCCCAAAUUCUAGCUAAAUCUCAUGAGGAGAGGUUGGAUGUGUGCUAGGAUUUAGUUUUGGGGCAUGGACAAUUGGGGUUUGGAAUGGGGAUGCAUCUUCCCCUAGGCUUGGACUUGAAAAAUGUGGGAAUUGGAAUUCCCUGGCAGCGCGCUUAAGCGCCCAGGAGCGCGCCCAAGCGCCCUGCUGCCCCUCCGUGUGCCAAUGCAUUCUGCCUCCUCGCGCUGGAGCGCCCAA